RNAcentral lists this transfer RNA (77 nucleotides) under Candidatus Omnitrophota bacterium. RNAcentral's name for it is "Candidatus Omnitrophica bacterium tRNA-Arg". It matches the Rfam family "tRNA". Rfam says of the family: Transfer RNA (tRNA) molecules are approximately 80 nucleotides in length. Their secondary structure includes four short double-helical elements and three loops (D, anti-codon, and T loops). The record is from RNAcentral. Lineage: Bacteria; Pseudomonadati; Candidatus Omnitrophota.
GCGCCUGUAGCUCAGUUGGAUAGAGCAAUUGCCUUCUAAGCAAUGGGCCGGCUGUUCGAAUCAGCCCAGGCGCACGA